GGACCCAGAAUUCACAGCGGAAGAAGAGAGAGAGAGAGAGAGAGAGGGAGAGCGAGAGACCACUCCCUCCUCUCGCCAUCAUCUUCACCAUCUUCUUCCUCAUCGUUGCGAUGAUGCUGCUGCAGCUUGUCCCUCAUCCAGCUCUGAUGAUGUCUCUCAUUGUGUUGGUCAGUGGACAAACAGACACAGACUCCAGACUGAGGGACAGAGCUUAUGUGGUUUUAGAGAAGCAGAAUUUAGUCACACUGUGCAGUGUCCUCGCUAUCCUGCUGCUGUUCAUGGUCAUCAUGGCUGUCUGUGUCUACAAGCCGCUCACUCGUCAAAGAUGAGACUGUCCUCAAACCUGGAGGAGAAUCCUGGACAACCAAAGAGCAGUGGCGUGCACAGACUUUUCAGGGGUGGAGGGGGGGGGGGCUUUAUAAUUGGAAAAAUAGUCAUAUUACAGCAGAAAAUAUCAUACAUACUUCCACAUUUAUUCCAUUGGGAGUUCCAUUGAUGGCGUAAAAGACGCUCGUAGCUGUUGAUCAACGGUCGCGUUUUGUCGCUGCUUCGAUCCGUUACUGUAGAAAUGUUUGCUUCUGUCACUAAGUGGAGAAAUGUUUUGGUGUAAUUGUCACUUCUCUUGCCAAUACAGCAACGUGCAGAAGUGGAAGGGAGGGACAUUUCAUCAUGUGAUUUCUUAACCUCUUCUUGAAUUCACUGAAGUUGUUUCUAUAUCUACUUUGUUUUAUAUUGAAACACCAACUUUUCCACCUCCCUCUGACAUAAAAACCAUAAAAGUAGGCUUAUUGAAACACACCAUAUGAACCAUACAUGAAUAGAGAUGUUUAAUAGGCCUAUAAUCAACACACAUGACUGCAGUCUCACACAAAUGCACAUUUUGGGCAUUUGUGAACCACCUGAUUUCGAAUUUCUCUGAGGUUCUCUUUCUUUUUUCUCAGCCAAGGACUUCCUGCAAGGUAACCCUCGUGUUUCCCUCGGAAUAAUUUGAUUAUAAGUUGAUUAGAUUUGCAAUUUAUAAACUAUUUCAGAGUCCAAAAUGAAAUUAAAUUGACCUACUAAUUAAUCAUUCAGUGAUUUGAUUACUAAAUGAAGCUCUCUAGGUUGAUCAUUUUUUUAAUGUUUUAAUUUUUUUUAUAAGAAAUGUGAUUUCAGCUUUUAAAAUGUGAAUGUGACAAUAAAUUGAAUAUUGUUUUGUUUGAUGACGUCGACAUUUUGACAGGUUUUUUGACAUUUUAUGGACCAAACUAAAAUAAUCAACUGUUCAAGAAAAUGAUAGAUUAAUCAAUAAUGAUUGAGUAGCAGCCCAAAUGUUUCUAUCAUGAUCAUUUUAAAGGAUGAAUCUGGAAGCUUUUCCCAGACCACCAUUGGUAGUGUUUGACAUAAAUUCUCAAUCAGACUUCCUUUUUUAUUUCCAUUUUAAAAUUACACAAUCGUUCACAGACUUUU
Long non-coding RNA from Solea solea (common sole), 1449 nucleotides. RefSeq lists it as uncharacterized. The record is from RefSeq and is a predicted model, not a curated record. Lineage: Eukaryota; Metazoa; Chordata; Actinopteri; Pleuronectiformes; Soleidae. The transcript is spliced from 2 exons.